This is a non-coding RNA of Peromyscus maniculatus bairdii (prairie deer mouse), 410 nucleotides long. NCBI's taxonomy places the organism in Eukaryota, Metazoa, Chordata, Mammalia, Rodentia, Cricetidae. The record is from RefSeq and is a predicted model, not a curated record.
GACAUCAGAGGAUUCUGUGCAGCCUCAGACCCUCCUUCUGGUCCUCGCUCCAAAUCUCUGAUGUGUGUCCAUCACCCGAGUAACUGCAGAAACCAGCACUGGACAGAGAAACAGAUGGAUACGAGUGAUCUAGAAGGAGAAAUGGACAGGUUCAAUGAAGUAAGAACAUCCCUGCAGCUCCAAAAUGAACUUUUGCUUGUCCCUGACUUUGCUUCAUCCUGUGAAGAUGCCUAGACAUUCCUGCGGAGGAGAUCAGGAAGGAAGUGGAAUGCCCGGAAAGGUGCCUGCCACCAAGCUUGAUGACGUGAGUUCAAUCCCCAGGGCCCACGUUGAAAAAGGAGAGGAUGUACUCCAUCAAGUUGUUCUCUGACCUCCACACGUAGGCUACAUAGUACUCCCUCACUAUGACA